GAAUGUGAUACCUCAUUUCGAUGCAUAUCCCUUUCUUUCAUCAGUAUGGGGCUGAUUGAAGCCAAUAGGAGGAGCCCUUCUUAAAGACCUAGUUUCAGGGUGUAAGGGAGAGAGGACUGCUUACUACUUGUUAAAAGAGAAAGCAGCGACAAAAACACAACUGUAAUGGUGCCCCUCACUACAAGAUUAACUUUGACAU
Molecule: long non-coding RNA, 199 nt
Filed under: Trifolium pratense (red clover)
Lineage: Eukaryota; Viridiplantae; Streptophyta; Magnoliopsida; Fabales; Fabaceae
Description: long non-coding RNA (TPRA_LNC001005)
Source: RNAcentral